RNAcentral lists this ribosomal RNA (497 nucleotides) under uncultured bacterium. RNAcentral's name for it is "partial 16S ribosomal RNA". It matches the Rfam family "Bacterial small subunit ribosomal RNA", at positions 28 to 507 of the family's 1533-position model. The record is from RNAcentral.
GAUGAACGCUGGCGGCGUGCCUAAUACAUGCAAGUCGAGCGAACAGACGAGGAGCUUGCUCCUCUGACGUUAGCGGCGGACGGGUGAGUAACACGUGGAUAACCUACCUAUAAGACUGGGAUAACUUCGGGAAACCGGAGCUAAUACCGGAUAAUAUAUUGAACCGCAUGGUUCAAUAGUGAAAGACGGUUUUGCUGUCACUUAUAGAUGGAUCUGCGCCGCAUUAGCUAGUUGGUAAGGUAACGGCUUACCAAGGCAACGAUGCGUAGCCGACCUGAGAGGGUGAUCGGCCACACUAGAACUGAGACACGGUCCAGACUCCUACGGGAGGCAGCAGUAGGGAAUCUUCCGCAAUGGGCGAAAGCUUGACGGAGCAACGCCGCGUGAGUGAUGAAGGUCUUCGGAUCGUAAAACUCUGUUAUUAGGGAAGAACAAAUGUGUAAGUAACUAUGCACGUAUUGACGGUACCUAAUCAGAAAGCCACGGCUAACUACGUG